UGGGGAAUUUUGGACAAUGGGCGAAAGCCUGAUCCAGCAAUGCCGCGUGUGUGAAGAAGGCCUUCGGGUUGUAAAGCACUUUUGUCCGGAAAGAAAUCCUUGGCUCUAAUACAGUCGGGGGAUGACGGUACCGGAAGAAUAAGCACCGGCUAACUACGUGCCAGCAGCCGCGGUAAUACGUAGGGUGCAAGCGUUAAUCGGAAUUACUGGGCGUAAAGCGUGCGCAGGCGGUUUGCUAAGACCGAUGUGAAAUCCCCGGGCUCAACCUGGGAACUGCAUUGGUGACUGGCAGGCUAGAGUAUGGCAGAGGGGGGUAGAAUUCCACGUGUAGCAGUGAAAUGCGUAGAGAUGUGGAGGAAUACCGAUGGCGAAGGCAGCCCCCUGGGCCAAUACUGACGCUCAUGCACGAAAGCGUGGGGAGCAAACAGGAUUAGAUACCCUGGUAGUCCACGCCCUAAACGAUGUCAACUAGUUGUUGGGGAUUCAUUCCUUAGUAACGUAGCUAACGCGUGAAGUUGACCGCCUGGGGAGUACGGUCGCAAGAUUAAAACUUAAAUGAAUUGACGGGGUCAUAGCU
RNAcentral lists this ribosomal RNA (577 nucleotides) under uncultured bacterium. RNAcentral's name for it is "partial 16S ribosomal RNA". It matches the Rfam family "Bacterial small subunit ribosomal RNA", at positions 355 to 926 of the family's 1533-position model. The record is from RNAcentral.